This is a small nucleolar RNA of Ictidomys tridecemlineatus (thirteen-lined ground squirrel), 128 nucleotides long. NCBI's taxonomy places the organism in Eukaryota, Metazoa, Chordata, Mammalia, Rodentia, Sciuridae. The record is from Ensembl.
UGUCCCCCUUUCACUUUGCCAAAUGGACUGAUGUCUUUAUUGGUCAUUCAAGUGGGGCAAAGGAAAUGUCCUCUUAAAACUCAGGCAGAUGAAGUGUUUGCCACGUAACCUGUCAGAUUGAAGUAGAU